RNAcentral lists this ribosomal RNA (77 nucleotides) under Brenneria izbisi. The record is from RNAcentral. Lineage: Bacteria; Pseudomonadati; Pseudomonadota; Gammaproteobacteria; Enterobacterales; Pectobacteriaceae.
CCUGGCGGCGAUAGCGCGGUGGUCCCACCUGACCCCAUGCCGAACUCAGCAGUGAAACGCCGUAGCGCCGAUGGUAG